RNAcentral lists this long non-coding RNA (1176 nucleotides) under Pongo abelii (Sumatran orangutan). RNAcentral's name for it is "lincRNA". The record is from RNAcentral. Lineage: Eukaryota; Metazoa; Chordata; Mammalia; Primates; Hominidae.
AGACAUAACAAUGACUCCAUUGAACUGAAAGUUAAGUUAAGACUGCCACUAGGCCACUUUGGGCUCCUUAUACCUGGGUCAACAGGCCAAGGAGGGAGUUACAGUGUUGGCUGCAUGACUGAUCUGAUUACUAAGGGGAAAUUGGACUACUGGUCAACAGUAGUUGAGUAUUGGAGAUUCUCUCUGGACUAUUUCAUGGCUCAGGAAACACACCUCCCUUCCCCACUUCCUGAGUGUAUGGGAUGGCCACAUAUACUGAAGCUCAAUCUUAUGAAAAGAGCACUUCAGAGGCAGGAGGAUCUGGAUUUGAAUCCUGGCUUUAUCCUGGGCUGAACAGGACCAGUUCUGCUUUCUGCCCUGGGGCAAGUUUCCCAACAUCGCUGAGCAUCUGUUUCCUUUACUAUAAAAUGAGGACAAUGAUACCACGUGGGAUUGUUGAGAAGAUAAAAAGAGAAAGCACUUGAAAAGCUUCUAAACAUAACCUUUCACAAAGCAAUUCAAUAACUGUUAGCUCCCUUCUCUCCUCUUUGCAGCUGCUGUUUCCUGGAGUUACAAACGUUUCUAGGUAAGCCACAACCAGAAAGAACAAUGGGAGGCCCAGAAGCCCACCUCCAACCACUCCAACCAGAUACACCAAGGACUCUGGCUCAGACCAGAUACAGCCACCUUGGUGAUCCAGAGAGGACUCCUACUGGGUGCAGUGUCUCAAGCCUGUAAUCCCACCACUUUGAGAAGCCAAGGUGGGAGGAUUGCUUGAAGCCAGGAGUUCAAGACCAGCCUGGGAAACAUAGCGAGACCCCAUUUCUACAAAAGAAGAAAAGAGAGAGAGAGUGAGAGAGGUCUCCUGUCAGGAAUCAUGCUCAAGUUCUGAUUCAAUUUCAAUGAGAGAUAAGGGAGUAAACAGCAGGAAGGAGGGAGAUUCCAGAAAACCCCAAGACUGCAUUGUUGGGCUGUCAUUGUUCAUGGGAAUUACUCACCCAUGGGUCUCCAUCUGGUUUCACCCACAGGUCUGUGCACCAUGUCUUGCUCUCUAGGAACCAGAACAUCUCUAUGGUUCUUUGGAUACAAGUACUCUAUUUCAGUGGCUCUUAGAUUUUUGUUUAUUUUUAAGAAGGGAUACUGGUGGUGAAUUGCCUUAAGAUUACUAAAAUAAAAGCAUUAAGAAACUCCCCAAAA